UGGGCUUGACAUCAUAGUGCCCGCUCUGGAAACAGAGUUUUUUCUAUACUUCGGUAUAGUUACGCUAUGAC
RNAcentral lists this ribosomal RNA (71 nucleotides) under uncultured bacterium. Its description in RNAcentral is "partial 16S ribosomal RNA". The record is from RNAcentral.